RNAcentral lists this RNase P RNA (409 nucleotides) under Burkholderiales bacterium. RNAcentral's name for it is "RNase P RNA component class A". It matches the Rfam family "Bacterial RNase P class A". From Rfam's summary of the family: Ribonuclease P (RNase P) is a ubiquitous endoribonuclease, found in archaea, bacteria and eukarya as well as chloroplasts and mitochondria. Its best characterised activity is the generation of mature 5'-ends of tRNAs by cleaving the 5'-leader elements of precursor-tRNAs. RNAcentral also lists the same sequence under 1 other name. Lineage: Bacteria; Pseudomonadati; Pseudomonadota; Betaproteobacteria; Burkholderiales. The record is from RNAcentral.
GGAGCGGGUCGGACGGUCGCCGGGGCAGCGAUGCCCGGGAGGAAGGUCCGGACUCCAGAGGGCAGGGUGCUGGCUAGCGGCCAGGCGCAGCAAGCGGGUUCUCCGGAGCCCGCCCAAGGCGACGGACAGUGGCACAGAGAACAGACCGCCGACGUGGCCGCGAAAGUGGCUGCGGGCAAGGGUGAAACGGUGGGGUAAGAGCCCACCGCGUUCCCGGUGACGGGAACGGCACGCCAAACCCCACCCGGAGCAACGCCGAAUAGGCACGCAUGCGGCUCCCGCCGCGACGGACGCCCCUCCGUGCGUGCGGGUUGGUGGCUCGAGCCCCCGGGUGACCGGGGGCCUAGACGAAUGAUCGUCACGCCGGGAAACCGGCGCACAGAAUCCGGCCUACAGACCCGCUCCAUCC